ACCUGCUUCCCUUCGCGCGCGCGCACCCGCGGUGCCGAGCCCAGCCGGGAAGAGGCAGCGCGCUUGUCGGUGCAGCUCGCGCAGUCCCCGCUGGAAAUUCACCCACCUCUGAAGCCCGGCGUCUGGUGCAGGGCGGGCCCCUCCACGACCCGCGUCUCAGUUUCCGCGACGAUCUCUACGUGGUCCAGGAUGGCGCUUCUCAGCUCCCGCUCGCCCGUCAAGCCCACCGAGCAACCCUAGCGGGCGAGCAGGAGGGCAGCGGAGCGCGCGCGCGCACCCAGCCAGACACCGCGCGCGCACCCGGACCCUCGCACAAGGGCUGCACCUUUACAUACAAGCCGAAUCCCCGCCCCCGCCCCCGCCCCCUGGCACACAGGCAGUCCUCCCUCCCGACACCCAACUGCUCAGACCCCCCCCAUUCCUGAGCCCCUAGUCCCGCAUCCAGACACCCCCACUUGAUUCUGCUUCUAUCCACACACCGAGAAAAAUAAGGCACUUUCCUCCUGGCAUCCGCCCCUACUUUUGCCUAAACCAGCCCCCCCUGGGGAGGAAAGACCCCUAUCCUCAGGCAGAGACCCCGCUUCCUUAUUGCGGGCUCACUGGCCUCCAUCCCCCCACCACAGAUGCGCACUCGAAUCCUUUCUCCUCGCCCAAACCCCCUAAAAAGGAAGGAACACGCACACGCACACACACACACACACACACGCACACGCACACACAAGCGCACCCGGGGCGUUUCGCUGAGAGAGCAACCAAGAACCCAGGAAAAGCCAAAGAAACAUUGGAGAACCUGGAGGGAGGGGGACUUAGAGAUCCAGGGUCGUCCAGUCUACGCGGAAUUGAGUAAUUCCAGGACCGAAGGGGCUUUUGUCAUUUCAUGA
This 881-nucleotide long non-coding RNA is filed under the name Chinchilla lanigera (long-tailed chinchilla). RNAcentral's name for it is "lncRNA (ENSCLAG00000023857.1)". The record is from RNAcentral. Lineage: Eukaryota; Metazoa; Chordata; Mammalia; Rodentia; Chinchillidae.